AUCGGGAACUAGUUUGGGAACGGU
This 24-nucleotide non-coding RNA is filed under the name Arabidopsis thaliana (thale cress). Lineage: Eukaryota; Viridiplantae; Streptophyta; Magnoliopsida; Brassicales; Brassicaceae. The record is from RNAcentral.